RNAcentral lists this non-coding RNA (117 nucleotides) under Pan troglodytes (chimpanzee). The record is from Rfam by way of RNAcentral. Lineage: Eukaryota; Metazoa; Chordata; Mammalia; Primates; Hominidae.
GCCAGGUGAGGUGGCUCACACCUGUAAUCCCAGCACUUUGGGAGGCCGAGGUGGGUGGAUCACCUGAGGUCAGGAGUUCAAGACCAGCCUGACCAACAUGGUGAAAUCCCAUCUCUA